Molecule: ribosomal RNA, 497 nt
Filed under: uncultured bacterium
Lineage: Bacteria
Description: partial 16S ribosomal RNA
Rfam family: Bacterial small subunit ribosomal RNA
Source: RNAcentral
GAUGAACGCUGGCGGCGUGCCUAAUACAUGCAAGUCGAGCGAACAGAUGAGGAGCUUGCUCCUCUGACGUUAGCGGCGGACGGGUGAGUAACACGUGGAUAACCUACCUAUAAGACUGGGAUAACUUCGGGAAACCGGAGCUAAUACCGGAUAAUAUAUUGAACCGCAUGGUUCAAUAGUGAAAGACGGUUUUGCUGUCACUUAUAGAUGGAUCCGCGCCGCAUUAGCUAGUUGGUAAGGUAACGGCUUACCAAGGCAACGAUGCGUAGCCGACCUGAGAGGGUGCUCGGCCACACUGGAACUGAGACACGGUCCAGACUCCUACGGGAGGCAGCAGUAGGGAAUCUUCCGAAAUGGGCGAAAGCCUGACGGAGCAACGCCGCGUGAGUGAUGAAGGUCUUCGGAUCGUAAAACUCUGUUAUUAGGGAAGAACAAAUGUGUAAGUAACUAUGCACGUCUUGACGGUACCUAAUCAGAAAGCCACGGCUAACUACGUG